AAUUUUGUACAAUGGGGGAAACCCUGAUCCAGCCAUCCCGCGUGUAUGAUGAAGGCCUNCGGGUUNUNAAGUACUUUUGGCAGAGNCGAAAAGGUAUCUCCUAAUACGGGAUACUGCUGACGGUAUCUGCAUAUUAAGAACCGGCGAACUACGUGCCAGCAGCCGCGGUAAUACGUAGGGUGCAAGCGUUAAUCGGAAUUACUGGGCGUAAAGCGUGUGUAGGCGGUUCGGAAAGAAAGUAGUGAAAUCCCAGGGGUCAACCUUGUAACUGCAUUUUUAACUGCCGGGCUAGAGUAUGUCAGAGGGGGGUAGAAUUCCACGUGUAGCAGUGAAAUGCGUAGAUAUGUGGAGGAAUACCGAUGGCGAAGGCAGCCCCCUGGGAUAAUACUGACGCUCAGACACGAAAGCGUGGGGAGCAAACAGG
This 424-nucleotide ribosomal RNA is filed under the name uncultured bacterium. RNAcentral describes it as "partial 16S ribosomal RNA". It matches the Rfam family "Bacterial small subunit ribosomal RNA", at positions 360 to 776 of the family's 1533-position model. The record is from RNAcentral.